This 586-nucleotide ribosomal RNA is filed under the name Hanseniaspora opuntiae. RNAcentral describes it as "partial large subunit ribosomal RNA". It matches the Rfam family "Eukaryotic large subunit ribosomal RNA", at positions 66 to 669 of the family's 3401-position model. Lineage: Eukaryota; Fungi; Ascomycota; Saccharomycetes; Saccharomycodales; Saccharomycodaceae. The record is from RNAcentral.
CCACUGCGGAUCCUUAGUACGGCGAGUGAGCGGUAAAAGCUCAAAUUUGAAAUCUGGUACUUUCAGUGCCCGAGUUGUAAUUUGUAGAAUUUGUCUUUGAUUAGGUCCUUGUCUAUGUUCCUUGGAACAGGACGUCAUAGAGGGUGAGAAUCCCGUUUGGCGAGGAUACCUUUUCUCUGUAAGACUUUUUCGAAGAGUCGAGUUGUUUGGGAAUGCAGCUCAAAGUGGGUGGUAAAUUCCAUCUAAAGCUAAAUAUUGGCGAGAGACCGAUAGCGAACAAGUACAGUGAUGGAAAGAUGAAAAGAACUUUGAAAAGAGAGUGAAAAAGUACGUGAAAUUGUUGAAAGGGAAGGGCAUUUGAUCAGACAUGGUGUUUUUUGCAUGCACUCGCCUCUCGUGGGCUUGGGCCUCUCAAAAAUUUCACUGGGCCAACAUCAAUUCUGGCAGUAGGAUAAAUCAUUAAGAAUGUAGCUACCUCGGUAGUGUUAUAGCUUAUUGGAAUACUGCUAGCUGGGAUUGAGGACUGCGCUUCGGCAAGGAUGUUGGCAUAAUGGUUAAAUGCCGCCCGUCUUGAAACACGGACCAA